GAGAGUACCUGCCCUUGAGGCCACCAAUCUUUAGACAGUGCUGAAUUUCCUCCCAUCAUCUUCAAACUCACUAAGAAGCAGUUUGUUCAGUCUCUCAUGAAUUUCCCCCAGGAAUAUGCCAACCCAUCUACCACUUGAAGAUUUGAAGCAACUUUGCACAGAGGCGUCAAACUCACCACCCCCAGGCCGCAGGCCAUUGCAAAACUUCUGAGUGCUGCCAGAACCAGAAUGUAAUUUUGGUAAAAUGUAUUUGGGAAAUGAUUAACCAAAUAAAUAAAAAC
Molecule: long non-coding RNA, 281 nt
Filed under: Vombatus ursinus (common wombat)
Lineage: Eukaryota; Metazoa; Chordata; Mammalia; Diprotodontia; Vombatidae
Description: lncRNA (ENSVURG00010008198.1)
Source: RNAcentral